UACGAAGGGGGCUAGCGUUGCUCGGAAUUACUGGGCGUAAAGGGAGCGUAGGCGGACUGUUUAGUCAGAGGUGAAAGCCCAGGGCUCAACCUUGGAAUUGCCUUUGAUACUGGCAGUCUUGAGUACGGAAGAGGUAUGUGGAACUCCGAGUGUAGAGGUGAAAUUCGUAGAUAUUCGGAAGAACACCAGUGGCGAAGGCGACUCACUGGACACGUAUUGACGCUGAGGUGCGAAAGCGUGGGGAGCAAACAGGG
This 254-nucleotide ribosomal RNA is filed under the name uncultured bacterium. RNAcentral's name for it is "partial 16S ribosomal RNA". It matches the Rfam family "Bacterial small subunit ribosomal RNA", at positions 524 to 777 of the family's 1533-position model. The record is from RNAcentral.